RNAcentral lists this non-coding RNA (24 nucleotides) under Rattus norvegicus (Norway rat). Lineage: Eukaryota; Metazoa; Chordata; Mammalia; Rodentia; Muridae. The record is from RNAcentral.
UCCUCCUCGUGUCAGGUGUGCAUA